GAUGAACGCUGGCGGCGUGCCUAAUACAUGCAAGUAGAACGCUGAAGGAAGGAGCUUGCUCUUUCCGGAUGAGUUGCGAACGGGUGAGUAACGCGUAGGUAACCUGCCUGGUAGCGGGGGAUAACUAUUGGAAACGAUAGCUAAUACCGCAUAACAGUAGAUGUUGCAUGAUAUCUACUUAAAAGGUGCAAUUGCACCACUACCAGAUGGACCUGCGUUGUAUUAGCUAGUUGGUGAGGUAACGGCUCACCAAGGCGACGAUACAUAGCCGACCUGAGAGGGUGAUCGGCCACACUGGGACUGAGACACGGCCCAGACUCCUACGGGAGGCAGCAGUAGGGAAUCUUCGGCAAUGGACGGAAGUCUGGCCGAGCAACGCCGCGUGAGUGAAGAAGGUUUUCGGAUCGCAAAGCUCUGUUGUAAGAGAAGAACGAGUGUGAGAGUGGAAAGUUCACACUGUGACGGUAUCUUACCAGAAAGGGACGGCUAACUACGUG
Molecule: ribosomal RNA, 497 nt
Filed under: uncultured bacterium
Lineage: Bacteria
Description: partial 16S ribosomal RNA
Rfam family: Bacterial small subunit ribosomal RNA
Source: RNAcentral